This 239-nucleotide ribosomal RNA is filed under the name uncultured bacterium. Its description in RNAcentral is "partial 16S ribosomal RNA". It matches the Rfam family "Bacterial small subunit ribosomal RNA", at positions 100 to 334 of the family's 1533-position model. The record is from RNAcentral.
CCGGCACGGGUGGAGUAACGCGUAUGCAACUUACCUAUCAGAGGGGGAUAGCCCGGCGAAAGUCGGACUAAUACCGCAUGAAGCAGGGAUCCCGCAUGGGAAUAUUUGCUAAAGAUUCAUCGCUGAUAGAUAGGCAUGCGUUCCAUUGGGCAGUUGGCGGGGUAACGGCCCACCAAACCGACGAUGGAUAGGGGUUCUGAGAGGAAGGUCCCCCACAUUGGAACUGAGACACGGUCCAA